RNAcentral lists this non-coding RNA (23 nucleotides) under Arabidopsis thaliana (thale cress). Lineage: Eukaryota; Viridiplantae; Streptophyta; Magnoliopsida; Brassicales; Brassicaceae. The record is from RNAcentral.
GAGCCCGUGUUUAUUCUGAGAUU